ACACUGUAAGGACACAUGAACUGAAAACUCUCUGGGUCGCUGUCUGUGAGGGAGUGUUGAAAUUGUUCACUGAGAAAAAGAAUUGUGCAGAACUGGCUAAAAAGUUUAUUUGAGGCAACAAUUUGAUCAUCAUAAUGCAGAUGCCAAUGUAGCAAGUUGUUAUGAACAAGCUAUUAUGAUGGAGACUCAGGCUGCAGUCCAAUCAAUCACCGGCGGUACUACACUGCCACAGACUACAUGUAUACACAUGGAUCCCCUUACGUCCAGUUAGAUCAAGUUACAUGGUUGUGGCUCAACACUGUAUGGACACAUGAACUGAAAACUCUCUGGGUCGCUGUCUGUGAGGGAGUGUUGAAAUUGUUCACUGAGAAAAAGAAUUGUGCAGAACUGGCUAAAAAGUUUAUUUGAGGCAACAAUUUGAUCAUCAUACUGCAGAUAAUCCGACAAGUCCAAACAGAUGUGGGACCAUACAGAGUCUCUUAUCGGAUGUCUUAAAUUUGACACCAUCGCAAAUCUACAUGACAGAACAGUUGCAAUAGUGUUUUAUACAAGAUGCCAAUGUAGCAAGUUGUUAUGAACAAGCUAUUAUGAUGGAGACUCAGGCUGCAGUCCAAUCAAUCACCGGCGGUACUACACUGCCACAGACUACAUGUAUACACAUGGAUCCCCUUACGUCCAGUUAGAUCAAGUUACAUGGUUGUGGCUCAACACUGUAUGGACACAUGAACUGAAAACUCUCUGGGUCGCUGUCUGUGAGGGAGUGUUGAAAUUGUUCACUGAGAAAAAGAAUUGUGCAGAACUGGCUAAAAAGUUUAUUUGAGGCAACAAUUUGAUCAUCAUAAUGCAGAUAAUCCGACAAGUCCAAACAGAUGUGGGACCAUACAGAGUCUCUUAUCGGAUGUCUUAAAUUUGACACCAUCGCAAAUCUACAUGACAGAACAGUUGCAAUAGUGUUUUAUACAAGAUGCCAAUGUAGCAAGUUGUUAUGAACAAGCUAUUAUGAUGGAGACUCAGGCUGCAGUCCAAUCAAUCACCGGCGGUACUACACUGCCACAGACUACAUGUAUACACAUGGAUCCCCUUACGUCCAGUUAGAUCAAGUUACAUGGUGUGUUUGUUUUUUUACUUUUUCAGUACUUUUCAUGACAGAAGCAAGCACAGAUCUCACUGAUCUGUGCAUGCUUCUGCCAAACGUGCACAGUGUAAUGAAACAGACAUUACAAUGUGUGAGUUUUCAUUUGUGAAAACUUGAAUACACUCGCAUAAUGUAAUAGCCUCAAAUUUAAAAUCUUGCAGUCUAUUACAUUGGGCAAGUUUUGCAGCACACUCGCACCUUCUAAUGUGAAGGUUUGCUUUUAUCCCACACAACUAACUUGCAUCACAUUACAUCCCGCCGAUAGUGUAGCACCUAACAAUAUAACAAAUACACAGUGGGACAAUUUGAAAUUUUAAAUCACUUAUUCCAUUUCUUUUCACACAUACUUGUACUUUCAGUAUAUCGAUGCUUUAGUUUCUACAUUUCAAAGAGUCACAAUAAAGGUUCCUUUCUAUUAUUAGUGCGCCAAAUACAACAAUACUUUUAUCUUCUCUCUCAUGGUCAUAUCAGUUAUUAACCACUUCUUAACUGUUUGAUAUAUUUUCAAAAAUGUCCUCAAAAUUGCUGCUUUUUAAUUAUGA
This is a long non-coding RNA of Pseudophryne corroboree (corroboree frog), 1677 nucleotides long. RefSeq lists it as uncharacterized. Lineage: Eukaryota; Metazoa; Chordata; Amphibia; Anura; Myobatrachidae. The record is from RefSeq and is a predicted model, not a curated record. The transcript has 11 exons.